AGUCCAUGAGCCGAUGAGUCUGGUGCAGCAAUUAGGAGACGCAGAUGGAAGCGGGGCAGAGAGAGAGAGAAAGCGCCCACGCUGCGCGCCGCGCGUUCAGGAUGACUUUGGUUCCGAGCUGCAAAAGUUUGAAAGUGAAAGAAAGUGUGUCAUGUUUGGCGCAAAUGAAGGGCGCAGAUGUUGGCUGAGUUUAUAAAGAGAGGGAGAAAGAAAAGAAAAUGCAAAGACGUGCAAAUUUGCACCUGGUCGCCAGUGAGGAGAAGUGUUCAUUGAAGACUUUCUGAUGAAGAGGAGGAUGAAGGAAGACAAACUGGGCUUAGACACAGGAUGGAGAAAGAAAUUCACCACGGGCUAUGAGGCUUGUUUCCACCACAUUUGCCCAUCCUGACACGCGGCGGGGAAAUCACCUCAGCAGAGCUUAUCUGUUCAGACAUUGCUGAGUCAGGCUGGGGCCUUGAGAUCAUCAUCAUCAUGAGAUGGGGAGGCUGGUGACCGCAGGCAGCAACGGAGGAGGUGGUGUUGUGUGUCGUGGUUUGCAGCUGCUGGUUCUUGGUAAACUAAAUUGUGCUGUGGAGUUGCCUCAGGGAAUAAUCAGCUCAAAUGUUGAAAGGGAGAAAGAAGUAAAGUGGUUUGAGGGGCAGUAAGUAAGAUUUUUAUUGAUGCAUUGCUCCACAUGACCAUAAAACACCUGCAGGAAGCUGAUUUUGUUGUUAAUUUCCCAGGUGCUGUGGGUUUUUGGCCUGAUGAACAGCUUUCUGGCUGGGUCUGGUUUUUGUUGAACGAUAUCCACACGCAUCAUGCUGAUGCUGAUGAAAUCCCAGCUGGCGAUGGACACAGCUCAUAAAGCACAAGUAAAUCACUUCCCCUCCACAGUCUGUCAUAAGCACAGAAUAUACUGAGAAUGAAAGAUGUUUUUUCUUUUUUAUAUAUACAUUUUAUAGUACCCCAAUGUGCUAUACACUGUAUACUGUUACCAAAUAUCAUGAAUAAAGGCAAAUAGGUUGGCUUAAACAAAUAAAACAUGUACAUAAUAAAAUAGAGCAUUUUGGUCAAUAUUUACAGUAAAGGUGUGUUUUUUUUGUUUUGUUUUGGGUUUUUCUCCAUUGCUAAAAUUUUUCCAAAUAAUGACCUACACAGAUUUUUUUUUUAAGGAAAAAAAACCUGAGUAAAAAACCUUUUUAUGGAACAAUUAAUAGGAACAUUUGCAGCUCCAGUCAAAAACAAGACAUUGUUUCCAUCAAUUUAAUUACAUACAAACAUUUGACUAGUACAUAUUUAUGUGCGUUAUAUAGUCUCAUUGAACAUAAGUGACUGAAAAGUUAUGAAUUUCUGUAUUUUAAAGUACAAAAACGUAUGUUUCAUAUUCGUGAAAAAAACAUUUUUUGCCAAAAUUAGGUGACUGCUGAGAACUAAUGUACUUCAGGCAGACCUCUUGAGCUGCGUUUUACGUCCGCUUUCACUCCAAUUACUCCAUCUUGUUUAUAUAUCUAAUUGAGGGCAGAGGUGUAGCCGUCUCACAUGCUUUCUGAUGUCUCUCAACUAUCAAACCCACCACUCUUUAUCUCUUUGUAUGCCUAAUAAAUGGAAUAUGAUUUACUUGGAGCCUAUAAGCUACUCAAGUGUUUUAUCAUUAAAGUAUUCAAAGUUUCCUUGUUGAGAUCUGAUGGAAAUGUAAUUUUCAGUGGAAAGAUAUGCAGAGGAAAGCAUGUUAAAAGUUUAAAUUUAUGCCUAAACCCUACAGGUUUAAUAUCUUUUUUUUAGAUGUUUUGUAAUCGCAUGUGAUUGAGGCAUUUUCUUUAUUCAUAUGAACAACGCUGAGAAUUUUAAUUUUUAUGGCAGGUGUGAGGAUCAUAUACAUCAGGGUAGAGCACUCAGAAUCCUUUGGUUGGUACACGCAUCAUAAAGAUGCAGUCACCAGGAAGCAAUGACCACAUACAGCUUUCAUCUUUAUCAACGAUGCACUGAGCUCCAGUGAAGCGCUCCUAUUGUCUUUUGUGUGGCCAAAAUAGUCAGGCACCAAGGAAGUAAGUUAAUCCAUCACUUAAAAGGGCAUCACACUGCUAACUAUGCUCAAUGCUUUGAAGCUGACAAAAGCUAAAAAUAAAGCUAGUGUGUGGCCAGCACCCUCUGCUCUCUUGCAUUAGUUGACGAUGUUACUGCACAGUUUUAAUUAAUUCUUAGAAGAUCAGAAUCAGCAGGUCAAACCUCGUGAAUCAUAAAUAAGGAUCUGCCAAGAAGUAUGCUAUUGUUAGAAAAUUUUAUUUGUUUUUCUUCACAAAAAGUGUCGCUAUACUCUACAUACGAUUUUGAGUCUUCCCUUCAUGUCAGUCACAGAUGCUGAGCAUUUUUUCUGUUUCUGUUAUCAAACACCACGAUGAGUCAGAAAAGAGUAAAAAACGUAACACCUUCAGUCACUAGUUUUACAAAUACACUUCUGUUAGAUAAAAAUCAGCUUGGACAAGGUAUGCGCUUUAGAAUUCAGUUGCACUCCUACGUCAAAUAUUUCUGCGAAUUGUAGUUCACAAGCACAGCUCAGCAACAGGAUGCUGCUGUGCAGGACACAGAUGAAAGAGGAAAUGUCAGUGUUUGUGCUUGUAAUGCUGUUCUUGCAUCACUUUUCAAGGAAGCCAUUUUUCCUUUUUUUUCAUGGAAGUUGUGAUUGAGUAAAAUUUAGGAAUUAAGAAAAUGCAAUUUUUUUUAUUUCCACUGGUGAUUUAAAAAAUAUGGUAAUUAUUCCAUUCAUAUUUGCAUUAAACUUGAACUGAAACCAAUGAUCUUUCUUAGGAAAUAUUGCAAUUAACUCGUCACCGGCCACUGCACUGAAUUAUGGAUUUUUACCUUUUUUUUUUUCUGUGUGCACUUUUGUCUGGAUUAAACACCUUUUCCAUACCUUGAUAAAUAGACCGGUAAAAAUAAACUGAUCAACUUAAAUAUCAAGUUGCAGGGCUGAUGAAAAACAUCAAACUGCAGGCACACAUUAUUUUAAACUUGAGUUCUCCGGGGCUCGUCAGAGGUAACACAUGGAGGCAUUGCAGGACUGUUCUGCACUGGCUCAAAUUAAAAUACCAGCAGGGAUCAACAUUAAGGCUGCUUCGUGUUUUGGCAGUCGGAAAUUUCCACUUCAAUUUCCUGACUGGAAUAGUUUUAUUGUGCUGAUGAGUCACGGCAAGUGAAACGAGAAGAACAAAGUCUGUGAUGACUUCGGACUGAUUAAGAGAUAGGAAAUCUGACUUCUAUACUUAAAACAUUAAAUCCUAAAGAUCCCCAGUAAAAUGUAUUCUGUUUUUUUUGUUCAGUUGAUCUUGAACUAGAAUAGAGUAAACAUUCUCAUAUUCUUCAAUAGCCCUUUAAGAGGACAUCAUGCAAACAAUUAAUUGGUUUCAUUUGGACAUUAUCGGAAAUGUUUCAUAGUUAGUUGGUUAACUGGUUGAGAGGGACUUUUGAAGUAACGCUGCAGUAUUUUUAAAACUCUCAAGACCUCAUUAUUUAGUGGUAGAGUGAGUUUCCUGGCCCUCCAGCUACUACCACACCUUGUUACAUUUCACCAUGCAGUUGUUAUCACAGGAUUGAUUUUAUUUGUUUUUUCUCCCCCUUUGGCCUAGAUAAAUCUUCUAUCCUACAAAACACGCCUUUAAAUCUGAACAACAGAAAAACAGAGGAGAGUAACGUGAAGAUUUGGAAUCUGUCCAGCAGUUAGCCAUCAUGUGUUACUGUUAAAAGCUCGAAAUGUCACAUUUCGGCCCGAGUGGUUGAUGAGAACAUGUGCACGUUAAUGAAAAUCCAAAACAUUUGAAUUUUCUAGUUUAAAUUAACAUGUGGACAAAAGCAGGAUAUGGUCCGUGUCAUAAGACGGCAGAACACAUGUCUGGGAGCUUUUGUUUUAUUUAUUUAUGUUCUGUUUACUGUAACAAAGUACUGUAUUUAUUUACUUCUUCUAAAGUCUAAAUUAUGGAAUACUGAAAUUGACAGAAUAAAAAAAUAAAUAGAAAAUCAAAAAUGCAGCAAUGAUGUAAUUACAAUGAUGUAAAUAAAUAUAUAUGGCAAUAAAUGUCAACAGUUAUA
Molecule: long non-coding RNA, 4062 nt
Organism: Cololabis saira (Pacific saury)
Lineage: Eukaryota; Metazoa; Chordata; Actinopteri; Beloniformes; Belonidae
Exons: 4
Source: RefSeq, a predicted model, not a curated record